AUUGCUUCUGUGCCUUUUGGCUAAGAUCAAGUGUAGAAAAAUACAAAAAAGUAGGAAACAAAUUUACAUACAUUAUUUAAAUUAAUUAAAAUAGGAAAUAAAAAAGGCUGGGGCUUUAACUUCGUGGUUCUGCCCUGCCUGCCUCACAAGUGCAAGGACCCGUGUUC
This 167-nucleotide small nuclear RNA is filed under the name Fukomys damarensis (Damara mole-rat). Its description in RNAcentral is "U2 spliceosomal RNA". Lineage: Eukaryota; Metazoa; Chordata; Mammalia; Rodentia; Bathyergidae. The record is from Rfam by way of RNAcentral.